CAAGUCGAACGAGAAGAGAUGAGAAGCUUGCUUCUAUUGAUUCGAGUGGCAAACGGGUGAGUAACGCGUAAGCAACCUGCCCUUCAGAUGGGGACAACAGCUGGAAACGGCUGCUAAUACCGAAUACGUCUUUUUGUCGCAUGGCAGAGGGAAGAAAGGGAGGCUCUUCGGAGCUUUCGCUGAAGGAUGGGCCUGCGUCUGAUUAGCUAGUUGGUGGGGCAACGGCCUACCAAGGCGACGAUCAGUAGCCGGUCUGAGAGGAUGAACGGCCACAUUGGAACUGAGACACGGUCCAGACUCCUACGGGAGGCAGCAGUGGGGAAUCUUCCGCAAUGGGCGCAAGCCUGACGGAGCAACGCCGCGUGAGUGAAGAAGGGUUUCGGCUCGUAAAGCUCUGUUGAAGGGGACGAACGGUAGGCAUAGGAAAUGAUGCUUAUUUGACGGUACCUUUCGAGGAAGCCACGGCUAACUACGUG
Molecule: ribosomal RNA, 476 nt
Filed under: uncultured bacterium
Lineage: Bacteria
Description: bacterial SSU rRNA
Rfam family: Bacterial small subunit ribosomal RNA
Source: RNAcentral